This 551-nucleotide ribosomal RNA is filed under the name uncultured Paracoccaceae bacterium. Its description in RNAcentral is "bacterial SSU rRNA". It matches the Rfam family "Bacterial small subunit ribosomal RNA", at positions 50 to 649 of the family's 1533-position model. The record is from RNAcentral. Lineage: Bacteria; Pseudomonadati; Pseudomonadota; Alphaproteobacteria; Rhodobacterales; Paracoccaceae.
AACACAUGCAAGUCGAGCGCACCUUCGGGUGAGCGGCGGACGGGUGAGUAACGCGUGGGAAUAUGCCCUUCUCUACGGAAUAGCCUCGGGAAACUGAGAGUAAUACCGUAUACGCCCUUCGGGGGAAAGAUUUAUCGGAGAAGGAUUAGCCCGCGUUGGAUUAGGUAGUUGGUGGGGUAAUGGCCUACCAAGCCUACGAUCCAUAGCUGGUUUGAGAGGAUGAUCAGCCACACUGGGACUGAGACACGGCCCAGACUCCUACGGGAGGCAGCAGUGGGGAAUCUUAGACAAUGGGGGAAACCCUGAUCUAGCCAUGCCGCGUGAGUGACGAAGGCCCUAGGGUCGUAAAGCUCUUUCAACUGUGAAGAUAAUGACGGUAGCAGUAGAAGAAACCCCGGCUAACUCCGUGCCAGCAGCCGCGGUAAUACGGAGGGGGUUAGCGUUGUUCGGAAUUACUGGGCGUAAAGCGCACGUAGGCGGACUAUUAAGUCAGAGGUGAAAUCCCAGGGCUCAACCCUGGAACUGCCUUUGAUACUGGUAGUCUUGAGUUC